UAAAUUUCCUAGACUUUGAAAAUCUCCCUACUGCCUCAUGACCAGAAGGAGGCGGAACCAGCCUCCAAAAGAUAUCCUCCCCAACAUACCGUCUGUACUAAGGACUGAAACAACAUGCAGGAUGAGAAUCAUGUGGCCCUCAAGAUCUUGUUGAACUGCCACUCUCAGCAGCCCUAGCCAGCACAGCAGAUAGUGAGGAAUCAACAUCUGCCAUAUGAUUUUCCACCCUUUACUCUUUUGGCUUCUUGGUGGCUAGUUCCAUCUGUUGCAUUUGCCUACAAGUUCUAUGACCCCACAAGCAAAAUCACUGAAUUCCUCAAGCUGCUGCAGAUGAAUGUAAUCAAGACUGUAACUAGGCUACAAUCAGAAAGAAGAAACAUGAAGAAUAGGUGCUGCUCAUAUUUCAAAAACCAGGAGGUCAUGUAAACAUCAUGUAAACCUAUUCCUAGUCUUGAAAUUUUGCCUACUUUUGAUACUUAAAUACUGGGAAUAUGAUGAAGGUGGGGGAUGGAAAUUGUUCUUGUGUCCUUUCUGUAGACAAACACAGAAAUUAUAUUUGCCAGCAUAUACACAGGCACUCCUCCUGUCCGCCAUCUUUGAUUCUUAAUAGGUUUAGAAGAACAUGAUUCAGAUCUGCACCCAAUCUAAUACAAUCUGGACUAUGAACGGACUAUGUGUGGAACUCUCUUCCACGGGAGGUCAAAUCGGCCCACUCCCUGCUCUCUUUUUGCCAGCAGCUGAAGACAUUUUUAUUUAGGUAGGCUUUUGGUGGAUGAAUUUUACUUGUGUGGUGUGCUGUCUUAAUGUUUUAAUAGUUUUUACUGGGUUUUACUGUCUUAAACUUACGUUUUAAUAUUAAGAGUAUUUUAUAAUUUUUUAGCUUUUGUAAUUGGUAUUUUAGUUCUUUAAAAAAUUAUUGUAAACUGCUUUGGAUCCCAUUUUGGGAGAAAGGCGGGAUAUAAAUCUCUCCAACAAACAAACAAGUAAACAGAUAAAUAAAAUGAAUCCAGAGAAGGAAAAUAAACCAGACAGAUUUCAGAAAUGUAGCUUCAGGGGAGUUUAUGCUAGGCAUCUAUAAAGUUUGCUGUUUUUCAAAGAGCAAAAAAUCAUUUCUAAAAACUUGACUGCUAAAUCCUGACAAUUGAUUACUUGGAGACAGGUUUGUAUAUUUUUAAUUGUAUUGUUUCAAAAUUUGUAAGCCACUUUGUGUCCCAAUUGUGGUGAA
This is a long non-coding RNA of Sceloporus undulatus (fence lizard), 1225 nucleotides long. RefSeq lists it as uncharacterized. The record is from RefSeq and is a predicted model, not a curated record. NCBI's taxonomy places the organism in Eukaryota, Metazoa, Chordata, Lepidosauria, Squamata, Phrynosomatidae. The transcript has 3 exons.